GGAAAGGUGACCGAGAGGCCGAAGGUGCUCGCCUGCUAAGUGAGUGUAGGUGUUAUAGCCUACCGAGGGUUCGAAUCCCUCCCUUUCCGCCA
RNAcentral lists this transfer RNA (92 nucleotides) under Deltaproteobacteria bacterium. Its description in RNAcentral is "tRNA-Ser". It matches the Rfam family "tRNA". From Rfam's summary of the family: Transfer RNA (tRNA) molecules are approximately 80 nucleotides in length. The record is from RNAcentral. Lineage: Bacteria; Pseudomonadati; Myxococcota; Myxococcia.